This 468-nucleotide ribosomal RNA is filed under the name uncultured bacterium. RNAcentral describes it as "partial 16S ribosomal RNA". It matches the Rfam family "Bacterial small subunit ribosomal RNA", at positions 28 to 507 of the family's 1533-position model. The record is from RNAcentral.
GACGAACGCUGGCGGCGUGCUUAACACAUGCAAGUCGAACGGAAAGGCCCUGCUUUUGUGGGGUGCUCGAGUGGCGAACGGGUGAGUAACACGUGAGUAACCUGCCCUUGACUUUGGGAUAACUUCAGGAAACUGGGGCUAAUACCGGAUAGGAGCUCCUGCUGCAUGGUGGGGGUUGGAAAGUUUCGGCGGUUGGGGAUGGACUCGCGGCUUAUCAGUUUGUUGGUGGGGUAGUGGCUUACCAAGGCUUUGACGGGUAGUCGGCCUGAGAGGGUGACCGGCCACAUUGGGACUGGGAUACGGCCCAGACUCCUACGGGAGGCAACAGUGGGGAAUAUUGCACAAUGGGCGGAGGCCUGAUGCGGCGACGCCGCGUGCGGGAUGACGGCCUUCGGGUUGUAAACCGCUUUCGCCUGUGACGAAGCGUGAGUGACGGUAAUGGGUAAAGAAGCACCGGCUAACUACGUG